Molecule: non-coding RNA, 45 nt
Organism: Schistosoma curassoni
Lineage: Eukaryota; Metazoa; Platyhelminthes; Trematoda; Strigeidida; Schistosomatidae
Source: Rfam
AUCCAGCUGACGAGUUCAUAAGAAUACGAGAUGCGCGUCCUGGAU